UACGUAGGGUGCAAGCGUUAAUCGGAAUUACUGGGCGUAAAGCGUGCGCAGGCGGUUUUGCAAGUCAGAUGUGAAAUCCCCGGGCUCAACCUGGGAACUGCAUUUGUGACUGCACGGCUGGAGUGCGGCAGAGGGGGAUGGAAUUCCGCGUGUAGCAGUGAAAUGCGUAGAUAUGCGGAGGAAUACCAGAGGCGAAGGCGGCACCCUGGGUCUGACCUGACACUGAUACGCGACAGCAUGGGGAGCGAACGGG
RNAcentral lists this ribosomal RNA (253 nucleotides) under uncultured bacterium. RNAcentral's name for it is "partial 16S ribosomal RNA". It matches the Rfam family "Bacterial small subunit ribosomal RNA", at positions 524 to 776 of the family's 1533-position model. The record is from RNAcentral.